GCUGUGAAGGCUCCUGUGUCCCGAUUGGAUGACGCCUCCAGCGUCCAUGUUUUUCCCGGAAAUUUGAACACACGGAGGAAAAACGAGACGCAGCACGAGUGUUUGUUUACAGGAAAACAUACCCAAAAAACAGCAUAUUAGCAAAACAGAGCUCAGCAAAAAGCGAGACCAAGAUGUGAAGAUGACGGUGAACAGCUGAAGAGACGCUGCAGCUGAUCGUCGUCACGAACAGCUGAUGCAGCAGCAGGAGGAGGACAGGCAGGACACAGACCAGUUUGGAGACAUUAGCUGAUGUUUGGAAACUGCGGCGUCUCCAAAACUGAGCGAAACGACAGGCGCUGUGAGCCGCUGCAAGGCUGCUGGAAGCGAGGAGAGCUGUCUCUGCCGAGGAAGAAAAGGAUGUUUGGAGAGGGAUCACAUCAGACAUGACAUUAGAUGAGGAACACACCGCAGAAGGCUGCGUUUUGGGCCACCCUGAGACAGACCGGCACCGACUGCAAACGACCCCGAAGCAACAAAGAGACAUUUCAAGCAUCUCAUGAAAUAAAAAAACAAUAAUAAAUAAAGCUUCAUAUUUUCAA
Long non-coding RNA from Plectropomus leopardus (leopard coralgrouper), 581 nucleotides. RefSeq lists it as uncharacterized. The record is from RefSeq and is a predicted model, not a curated record. NCBI's taxonomy places the organism in Eukaryota, Metazoa, Chordata, Actinopteri, Perciformes, Serranidae.